CGCCCUCAAAACGCCUCCCUCUCGUGACUUGUGAAUUUUGACCUGACCUCAAGUCCUCAUUCAACUUCAUUGUAAAGAAAGGAAAGGUUGCUGGAUGAAACCGUCGAAAUAUGUUGUACUAUAGACAUAUUUUGCCGGCUUUGAGGUCCCCCUUAACUUUUAGAAAUUGCCGGUUGUUGUCGUCGGUUUUCACUUCUCCACAGUUACAAUCACUCGGGGAAGGCGUUAAGCAGUUUGUAAAGGAUAAUGUGGAACUGUGUCAACCAGACAGUAUUCAUGUUUGUGACGGCUCGAGAGAUGAAAAUCAGAAACUUUUACACAAGCUUCAGAAAGAAGGAAGACUAACAAAAGUGACGAAA
Molecule: long non-coding RNA, 359 nt
Organism: Amphimedon queenslandica
Lineage: Eukaryota; Metazoa; Porifera; Demospongiae; Haplosclerida; Niphatidae
Exons: 2
Source: RefSeq, a predicted model, not a curated record